This 161-nucleotide small nuclear RNA is filed under the name Propithecus coquereli (Coquerel's sifaka). RNAcentral's name for it is "U1 spliceosomal RNA (ENSPCOG00000005247.1)". The record is from RNAcentral. Lineage: Eukaryota; Metazoa; Chordata; Mammalia; Primates; Indriidae.
AUCCUUGCCUGGCAGGAGACAGGUCAUGUGCACAAAACAGGUCAUGUUCAGCUCUCCAGGGCAAGCCUAUUCCAUUGCUUCCCAUGUCUUGACCCCUGUUGUUUCCCCAAAUGUGGGAAACUAGAUGGCACAUUUGAGGUGGUGGGGACUGCAACCUCUUC